Molecule: transfer-messenger RNA, 434 nt
Filed under: Patescibacteria group
Lineage: Bacteria
Also listed under: 3 other names
Description: UBA1450 sp001789555 Standard tmRNA
Rfam family: transfer-messenger RNA
About the family: Bacterial tmRNA, also known as 10Sa RNA or SsrA, is named for its dual tRNA and mRNA-like properties. Its role is to liberate the mRNA from a stalled ribosome.
Source: RNAcentral
GGGGAUGCAUGGUUUCGACGUGAAGAUCGCACUUUUAUAAAUCGCUAGAGCGGACCUAUCCGUUAAAUGGAAAAGUAACUGCAAACCUCAAAAAGGAAUUUGCAUCACUUAAAAGAGCGGUUGUAGAAGCUUAUGAAGCCCAACAGGCCAAAUUUGCUUUUGCAAACAUGAACUUUGCUUUCGCAGCGUAAGUUCAAUAUCCUUUUAGUGAUCUUAGUCGGCUUCAUCGGUGAGCUGACUAACGAAAAACAAUGCCGAAGUAGGUAAGGUAAAGUUUUCGAUCUUUACUUCACUGAAAUAAAUAAAAUCGGCAGCUUGGACAAUGGUUUAUAUAUUAUCCAGUUUGAGCUUGAGUUUAAAAAUAUAAUAUCUCUAGCUAAAGAUUUAUAAGGGAGCCUUUGCGGACCCGGGUUCAACUCCCGGCAUCUCCACCG